This 76-nucleotide transfer RNA is filed under the name Gammaproteobacteria bacterium. RNAcentral's name for it is "tRNA-Asn". It matches the Rfam family "tRNA". Rfam says of the family: Transfer RNA (tRNA) molecules are approximately 80 nucleotides in length. Their secondary structure includes four short double-helical elements and three loops (D, anti-codon, and T loops). Further hydrogen bonds mediate the characteristic L-shaped molecular structure. tRNAs have two regions of fundamental functional importance: the anti-codon, which is responsible for specific mRNA codon recognition, and the 3' end, to which the tRNAs corresponding amino acid is attached (by aminoacyl-tRNA synthetases). tRNAs cope with the degeneracy of the genetic code in two manners: having more than one tRNA (with a specific anti-codon) for a particular amino acid; and 'wobble' base-pairing, i.e. permitting non-standard base-pairing at the 3rd anti-codon position. The record is from RNAcentral. Lineage: Bacteria; Pseudomonadati; Pseudomonadota; Gammaproteobacteria. RNAcentral also lists the same sequence under 3 other names.
UCCCCGGUAGCUCAGUCGGUAGAGCAGCUGGCUGUUAACCAGCGGGUCGGCGGUUCGAGCCCGUCCCGGGGAGCCA